AGCGAACGCUGGCGGCAGGCUUAACACAUGCAAGUCGAACGGAUCCUUCGGGAUUAGUGGCGGACGGGUGAGUAACACGUGGGAAUGUGCCUUUAGGUACGGAACAACUCAGGGAAACUUGAGCUAAUAACGUAUGUGCACAUAGGGGGAAAGAUUUAUCGCCUUUAGAGCAGCCCGCGUCUGAUUAGCUAGUUGGUAGGGUAAAGGCCUACCAAGGCGACGAUCAGUAGCUGGUCUGAGAGGAUGAUCAGCCACAUUGGGACUGAGACACGGCCCAAACUCCGACGGGAGGCAGCGGUGGGUAAUCUUGCGCAAUGGGCGAAAGCCUGACGCAGCCAUGCCGCGUGAAUGAUGAAGGUCUUAGGAUUGUAAAAUUCUUUCAGUGGGGACGAUAAUGACGGUACCCACAGAAGAAGCCCCGGCUAACUUCGUGCCAGCAGCCGCGGUAA
This 449-nucleotide ribosomal RNA is filed under the name uncultured bacterium. Its description in RNAcentral is "partial 16S ribosomal RNA". It matches the Rfam family "Bacterial small subunit ribosomal RNA", at positions 29 to 523 of the family's 1533-position model. The record is from RNAcentral.